UGCGUAGGCGGGUUUCUAAGUCAGAGGUGAAAGCCUGGAGCUCAACUCCAGAACUGCCUUUGAUACUGGAAGUCUUGAGUUCGGGAGAGGUGAGCGGAACUGCGAGUGUAGAGGUGAAAUUCGUAGAUAUUCGCAAGAACACCAGUGGCGAAGGCGGCUCACUGGGCCAUUACUGACGCUGAGGCACGAAAGCGUGGGAGCAAACA
This 206-nucleotide ribosomal RNA is filed under the name uncultured bacterium. RNAcentral describes it as "partial 16S ribosomal RNA". It matches the Rfam family "Bacterial small subunit ribosomal RNA", at positions 568 to 774 of the family's 1533-position model. The record is from RNAcentral.